CUGAUGGCCAUAUAAAAGCUGCACGCUCGCAACAAAAGGCAGAGAGCGAAUACGGAAAACAGCGAAGCAGCGAAUAACACGAAAAGCCAGGGCAAUAACUCGUAUUCUUACUUCGAAACAAAAACAGUGAUAUAAACUAAAACUGGAACGAAGCGUGGCAAAGAGUUGCUUUGAGUUGUACCGAGUUGAGUAAAUAAACAGAGCGAGCGAGUGGGAAGUGAGAGGAAAGGACUCGAAAGAAAAACGCGCGGAAAAGUGCAUUUCGAUUUCCCAUUUAUUUUUUUCCGAGUGAAAGUUGGGCGCCUUCUUUAUACCGACACCCACACACCCACGAACGAACCAACGCACACAGACUGAUGAACCGUUCCAACAGCUUUGUCAGCUCGCUCAAGUGGUGGCCACUGCAGGGUCACAACAACCACAACCAACCGGCGGUGCAACCUGCCAGCGGCGGGGUCUACUCGCAAUCUGCUCCCAGCUCCCCCACCUCCAACUGGCCGCCACCGCUGCAGCAACAGCAGCUUCAUCGCCUGCACCCGCUGGCACCGCAUACACAAAAGCCCGGCGUGGUCGGCGCCACAUUCGGCAGCAGCGUUGCCGUUCAAAAGCUACGCGAAUCCAAGUGGUUUAAACCGGCGGAGCAGCGCAUCUUUUGCGCCGUCGUCGAAUGCGGCUUCAUUGUCGAAAUACGCAGCAGCUCCGCAGCCGAGGCGGCGGCCGCUGCGGCAGCAGCUGCUGCAAUGGCCGGGGCCUCCUCCACCGGUGACGCUUCUUCCGUCGAUGGCGUGGACUCCCUGGAGCUCGACUGUCCGCCGCACCCGCCAACGCCGUUGCUGGUCAUAACGCGUAACGGAAGCAGCUUCCUUGAGACGCAGGAUGAGAACGAGACACCAGUGGCCUCCUGGUAUGGAAUCGUUCUCUGCAAGUUGGCCAAAGACAAUAAACCCAAGCCCGAAACUAUCGAGAUAUUUUCUGUGAAAAUACGUGAGAAUGGGACCUAUAAAUUAAUCAAAAUGUCACUUGCCGAAAUAUGGAGCCAUGGCUGGGAGUUGCGUAUUAACAAUUUCGCCGACAAGGAGAAAGUCCCGCACAACGAAAAGGAUAUACGCAAUCAGGUGUCUGUGGCGCGAAAGGCCAAACAGAGUUUGUGGAACAACAACAAGCACUUCGUCUAUUGGUGUCGGUACGGGAGUCGUCAGCAGGAUCUGCGGAAGCGACAGGUAACGACGAGUGCCAAUCACGUGCUACUGCACCUGAUCAAUUAAUAGGCGGCGGAGCUCAGACAGCCAGCAAAAAGAAUAAUUAUAUAUAUAUAUAUCGCCGAUUCGGAGACCAACAUAAUUGCCAAUCCUCUUAUCCCCUCCUCCUUCCCACCUCCUGCUCCUGCGCCACUACCAACCCAACCAUUCACAUACAUAUAUUGAUUGUUAUAGUUGCAGCAUCCAAAAAAAAAAUGUAAAAACAUAAAACACAUACACACACACACACACACACUACACUGACCAAAAACCAACUUUCAGACCAACGCAUGCACAAAAAUUUGUUUCACAGGUUUAACCGGAGAACGAACCAUUGCCAUUUUUCUGUAUGGCUUUAUUUAUAACCAUCAUGCAACCACUGAAUAUUAUUCAUGCUUUCCCCUUUGUUCUGGCUUUUUGCUCAUUUAAAAAAAAGAAAAAAAAAAUUGUAAAAAAAGGAGAAGGAAAUGUAUGUAUGUAGAUGUUAACCCCAAAUGGAAGUUUCAUCAUAAAAAUAACCGAAUAUGCAUCCUCCUUGCAGCACCCUUUAUAUUCCCCGCAUUUCGUGAGAUCCUCACGAUCAUUAACUAUUCUAUAUGGUACAGAAAGCAUUACAUUUUGUAUAUAUUACAUAUAUUUAUGAGAGUCUUGCAGUUAUUAUUGAAAAGGCAGACGACAGGCUUGUUUCAUAUUUCUAGUUUAUAGGAAUAGGAUUUUGUUAUUAAUUAUUCGAAUUUUUAAACUAUAUAAGAUAUGGGUUUUUCUAUUCCAUUAAAUACUUCUUACUUUUAAAAUUCAAGGUAAUUUGAUAACUUUGUUUUAAACCUUGUAGGAAAAACAUAAUUUUAAAGAAAAUCACAAAUGGGAAAAUGAAAUAGAUCUGCCCUCUGUCUAUUCUGUAUAUAUCAAUACUGUAACGGGAAAGUCGAUAUACAAAUUUGGCAUUUUAACGUAACGAUAUACAGUGCGAUAAAUCGAUAUUCUGUUGAAUAUAUCGUACCAAUAUAAUCGGUAACAAUACAAAAUUCAAUAACUUAUUUCUGAUAUUUUUCGAUAAAAUCAACAACAUUUUUCGAUAUUUAAAAUUUCGAUAAAUUGAAAUUGAUAUGAUAUUGAGCAUCCCUAGUAACAACCAGUUAAACUUCAAACUUUGCUAUACCAAAUAUGUAUUUUUCACUAUUUUAUUUAUUGUAUUUUUCUUGUCACAUUUCGAGGCGUGAUAAUUAAGGAAAGUUGAUGAUUAUUAUUAGUUGUACUUCCACUUAUUCCGGCCAGCGUUCCGCCUUUUAUAUUGCAACCUAAGAGACAUGUCGGAGUGCGUGAAGUGGGGCAGCGUUGGCAUGAAUGCGGGCAUGUUGUUGGUGCUGAAUAGCAAUAAUAAACCAAAAAGAACGCAAUUG
RNA transcript from Drosophila kikkawai, 2638 nucleotides. It is a transcript of the gene named lethal (1) G0469, with no coding region annotated. Lineage: Eukaryota; Metazoa; Arthropoda; Insecta; Diptera; Drosophilidae. The record is from RefSeq and is a predicted model, not a curated record.